RNAcentral lists this unclassified non-coding RNA (246 nucleotides) under fungal sp. RNAcentral's name for it is "partial internal transcribed spacer region". The stretch from base 1 to 46 matches the Rfam family "Eukaryotic small subunit ribosomal RNA", at positions 1786 to 1831 of the family's 1831-position model. The record is from RNAcentral. Lineage: Eukaryota; Fungi.
AAGUCGUAACAAGGUUUCCGUAGGUGAACCUGCGGAAGGAUCAUUAACACGUAUCCAACGUUAAUCCACCCGUGCACCUUCAGUGAGCCUGGCUUAUACACUCUCGUCGAGGGCCAGGUCAACGUCGCUUCCGCUUUGCGACCGUUUUAUCGAAAAUUGGAAUUACGAUCGGCUGGGGAGUUGAUAGCUUGGUGAGACCGAUGGUUUAGCAAUGAGCAUGGGGAAAGGCAGAGGAAUGGAUGUCUC